UGGAAAUAAGGCCACUGAGGAGAAAGAUGUCUGCUGUUUCAGUUUCCUGGAAAUUGAAGCUUUUCUCGUUAGCUGCCUGCAUCCCCUGAGGCUGUGAGAUAUCUGCUGUUUGGGUUUCCUGGAAAUCGAAAGUUUUCUCACAUCCUGCCUGAAUCCCCUGAGGCUGUGCUUCAGUGAGGGCAGAGCUGCUUGAAACCUCUCAGGAACCCAUCCGAGCUCUAGACUGUGGGGACUUCGGCAGUAUCCGUCCGAGCUGGCCUUUCAUCAUGGCCAACAUGGCAGCUGUGAUUAGAACAGUUGUGAUCUUUGCCCUGCCUGUGGUGCUCAAUGCCAUUGGCCACGCCAGCGCAGAACUCAUUGCCGGCUCCAUGGCCAGGGUGAUGUCCACAGCGGCCACCACUGUCACCAGAGUUGCCGUGAAUGGCCUCAGGGCUGCUCUGCGGUCAGUGAGAAUGGCCUGACUCUUCCCGUGGUGCAGACUCAUGCUGGUCUCUGCUGAGUCUGCCCUUGUGGCCUGCAUGGUGCGCUUUGCAUAGCUCCCUGCCCCUGCCCCUGCCCCUGCCCCUGUGGAGAAGAGGGCCACACGAUGGCAGAGGGUGCAGCCAGCCAGCCGACUCAGCGAGGGACCCAUCUGGGGACACAAUGAACCCAAUGCCGCACGCCCAGAGGAAAAUAAGGAAUAAAAUUGCGUUGUUGCAACUC
This is a long non-coding RNA of Lemur catta (Ring-tailed lemur), 702 nucleotides long. RefSeq lists it as uncharacterized. The transcript is spliced from 6 exons. The record is from RefSeq and is a predicted model, not a curated record. Lineage: Eukaryota; Metazoa; Chordata; Mammalia; Primates; Lemuridae.